This is a non-coding RNA of Acanthosepion pharaonis, 114 nucleotides long. Lineage: Eukaryota; Metazoa; Mollusca; Cephalopoda; Sepiida; Sepiidae. The record is from the annotation of a GenBank genome assembly.
UACAGCUAUAUCACGUUGAAACUACAGGUACCUGUACGAUCACCGAAGUUAAGCAACAUUUAAACUGGUCAGUACCUAGAUGGGUAACUGCUUGGGAAUACCAGAUGCUGUAAG